AGCGAACGCUGGCGGCAGGCCUAACACAUGCAAGUCGAACGGCAGCACAGUAAGAGCUUGCUGUUACGGGUGGCCAGCGGGGGACGGGUCAGGUAUACAUCGGAAUCUUCUGUUUCGUGGGGGCUAACGUAGGGUAACCUACGCUAAUACCGGAUACGACCCACGGGUGAAAGCAGGGGAUCUUCUGACCUGGCGCGAUUGAAUGAGCCGGUGUCGGAUUAGCUAGUUGGCGGGGUAAAGGCCCACCAAGGCGGCGAUCCGUAGCUGGUCUGAGAGGAUGAUCCGCCACCCGGGAGGUGAGACAGGGUCCAGACUCCUGCGGUAGGCAGCAGUCGGGAAUAUUGGGCAAUGGGCGCGAGCCUAAUCCAGCCAUACCGCGUAAGUGAAGACGGCCCUCGGGUUGGAAAGCCCUUUUGUUGGGAGGGAAAAGCAGCAGGUUAAUACCCCGCGGUAGUGACGGUACCCAGAGAAGAAGCACCGGCUAACUUCGUG
This 492-nucleotide ribosomal RNA is filed under the name uncultured bacterium. Its description in RNAcentral is "partial 16S ribosomal RNA". It matches the Rfam family "Bacterial small subunit ribosomal RNA", at positions 29 to 507 of the family's 1533-position model. The record is from RNAcentral.